AUGAUCUUAAAAUAGUUAUUUGAAUAUAAAUCGCAUCAUCAAAUCAUAUCAGAUAAGCAGUGUUACACUCACCUAUAUCUCUUAAAUGUAGAUCAUGGUUGAUUAUUAGUUUCUUAUAACUUAAAAUCUUGUUGCUAAUUAAAGAUGAUAAUCUAAUAAGAAACUAAG
This 168-nucleotide small RNA is filed under the name Mycoplasmoides gallisepticum S6. Its description in RNAcentral is "Mycoplasma gallisepticum S6 ncRNA identified by RNA-seq". The record is from RNAcentral. Lineage: Bacteria; Bacillati; Mycoplasmatota; Mycoplasmoidales; Mycoplasmoidaceae.